GGCCGACUAGCUCAGUUGGUUAGAGCGUGGUGCUAAUACUGGAGUUGUGUGAGCAGCUCAAGCAACGCCAAGGUCGUCGGUUCGACCCCGGCGUUGGCCA
Molecule: non-coding RNA, 100 nt
Organism: Trametes elegans
Lineage: Eukaryota; Fungi; Basidiomycota; Agaricomycetes; Polyporales; Polyporaceae
Source: the annotation of a GenBank genome assembly